GAUGAACGCUGGCGGCGUGCCUAAUACAUGCAAGUCGAGCGAACGGACGAGAAGCUUGCUUCUCUGAUGUUAGCGGCGGACGGGUGAGUAACACGUGGAUAACCUACCUAUAAGACUGGGAUAACUUCGGGAAACCGGAGCUAAUACCGGAUAAUAUUUUGAACCGCAUGGUUCAAAAGUGAAAGACGGUCUUGCUGUCACUUAUAGAUGGAUCCGCGCUGCAUUAGCUAGUUGGUAAGGUAACGGCUUACCAAGGCAACGAUGCAUAGCCGACCUGAGAGGGUGAUCGGCCACACUGGAACUGAGACACGGUCCAGACUCCUACGGGAGGCAGCAGUAGGGAAUCUUCCGCAAUGGGCGAAAGCCUGACGGAGCAACGCCGCGUGAGUGAUGAAGGUCUUCGGAUCGUAAAACUCUGUUAUUAGGGAAGAACAUAUGUGUAAGUAACUAUGCACGUCUUGACGGUACCUAAUCAGAAAGCCACGGCUAACUACGUGCCAGCAGCCGCGGUAAUACGUAGGUGGCAAGCGUUAUCCGGAAUUAUUGGGCGUAAAGCGCGCGUAGGCGGUUUUUUAAGUCUGAUGUGAAAGCCCACGGCUCAACCGUGGAGGGUCAUUGGAAACUGGAAAACUUGAGUGCAGAAGAGGAAAGUGGAAUUCCAUGUGUAGCGGUGAAAUGCGCAGAGAUAUGGAGGAACACCAGUGGCGAAGGCGACUUUCUGGUCUGUAACUGACGCUGAUGUGCGAAAGCGUGGGGAUCAAACAGGAUUAGAUACCCUGGUAGUCCACGCCGUAAACGAUGAGUGCUAAGUGUUAGGGGGUUUCCGCCCCUUAGUGCUGCAGCUAACGCAUUAAGCACUCCGCCUGGGGAGUACGACCGCAAGGUUGAAACUCAAAGGAAUUGACGGGGACCCGCACAAGCGGUGGAGCAUGUGGUUUAAUUCGAAGCAACGCGAAGAACCUUACCAAAUCUUGACAUCCUCUGACCCCUCUAGAGAUAGAGUUUUCCCCUUCGGGGGACAGAGUGACAGGUGGUGCAUGGUUGUCGUCAGCUCGUGUCGUGAGAUGUUGGGUUAAGUCCCGCAAUGAGCGCAACCCUUAAGCUUAGUUGCCAUCAUUAAGUUGGGCACUCUAAGUUGACUGCCGGUGACAAACCGGAGGAAGGUGGGGAUGACGUCAAAUCAUCAUGCCCCUUAUGAUUUGGGCUACACACGUGCUACAAUGGACAAUACAAAGGGUAGCGAAACCGCGAGGUCAAGCAAAUCCCAUAAAGUUGUUCUCAGUUCGGAUUGUAGUCUGCAACUCGACUACAUGAAGCUGGAAUCGCUAGUAAUCGUAGAUCAGCAUGCUACGGUGAAUACGUUCCCGGGUCU
This 1372-nucleotide ribosomal RNA is filed under the name uncultured bacterium. Its description in RNAcentral is "bacterial SSU rRNA". It matches the Rfam family "Bacterial small subunit ribosomal RNA", at positions 28 to 1381 of the family's 1533-position model. The record is from RNAcentral.